UGGGGAAUUUUGGACAAUGGGCGAAAGCCUGAUCCAGCAAUGCCGCGUGUGUGAAGAAGGCCUUCGGGUUGUAAAGCACUUUUGUCCGGAAAGAAAUCCUUGGCUCUAAUACAGUCGGGGGAUGACGGUACCGGAAGAAUAAGCACCGGCUAACUACGUGCCAGCAGCCGCGGUAAUACGUAGGGUGCAAGCGUUAAUCGGAAUUACUGGGCGUAAAGCGUGCGCAGGCGGUUUGCUAAGACCGAUGUGAAAUCCCCGGGCUCAACCUGGGAACUGCAUUGGUGACUGGCAGGCUAGAGUAUGGCAGAGGGGGUAGAAUUCCACGUGUAGCAGUGAAAUGCGUAGAGAUGUGGAGGAAUACCGAUGGCGAAGGCAGCCCCUGGGCCAAUACUGACGCUCAUGCACGAAAGCGUGGGGAGCAAACAGGAUUAGAUACCCUGGUAGUCCACGCCCUAAACGAUGUCAACUAGUUGUUGGGGAUUCAUUUCCUUAGUAACGUAGCUAACGCGUGAAGUUGACCGCCUGGGGAGUACGGUCGCAAGAUUAAAACUUAAAGGAAUUGACGGGG
RNAcentral lists this ribosomal RNA (568 nucleotides) under uncultured bacterium. Its description in RNAcentral is "partial 16S ribosomal RNA". It matches the Rfam family "Bacterial small subunit ribosomal RNA", at positions 355 to 918 of the family's 1533-position model. The record is from RNAcentral.